ACCUCGGUGGUGUAAUGGUAGCACGCGUUCUUGGUAUGAAUGGAACGCGGGUUCGACUCCUCUCUGGGGUC
Non-coding RNA from Parelaphostrongylus tenuis, 71 nucleotides. The record is from the annotation of a GenBank genome assembly. Lineage: Eukaryota; Metazoa; Nematoda; Chromadorea; Rhabditida; Metastrongylidae.